GCCACAGCACAUAUAACCCUGCAGCCCAAGACUGGUUGCUCACUGAAGCUAAGCAGGGUUGAGCCUGGUUAGUACCUGGAUGGGAGACCUCCUGGGAAAACUAGGUUGCUGUUGGA
This 116-nucleotide ribosomal RNA is filed under the name Sinocyclocheilus grahami. Lineage: Eukaryota; Metazoa; Chordata; Actinopteri; Cypriniformes; Cyprinidae. The record is from RNAcentral.